AUUGAACGCUGGCGGCAGGCCUAACACAUGCAAGUCGAGCGAGCGGCGGAAGGGUGAGUAAUGUAUGGGGACUGCCCGAUAGAGGGGGAUAACUACUGGAAACGGUGGCUAAUACCGCAUACUAUCGGAUAACCCAUAUGGGAUUAGCUAGUAGGUGGGGUAAAGGCUCACCUAGGCGACGAUCUCUAGCUGGUCUGAGAGGAUGAUCAGCCGCACUGGGACGGAGACACGGCCCAGACUCCUACGGAGGCAGCAGUGGGGAAUAGGGCCGUAUGGGCGCAGGCCUGAUGCAACCAUGCCGCGUGUAUGAAGAAGGCCUUAUGGUUGUAAAGUACUUUCAGCGGGGAGGCGUUACCCGCAGAAGAAGCACCGGCUAACUCCGUGCCAGCAGCCGCGGUAAUUC
RNAcentral lists this ribosomal RNA (403 nucleotides) under uncultured bacterium. RNAcentral describes it as "partial 16S ribosomal RNA". It matches the Rfam family "Bacterial small subunit ribosomal RNA", at positions 30 to 526 of the family's 1533-position model. The record is from RNAcentral.